Molecule: ribozyme, 67 nt
Filed under: unclassified sequences
Description: pistol ribozyme
Rfam family: Pistol ribozyme
Source: RNAcentral
GCUCGACUAGGCGAGGAUAAAUAGACUGUUAAGCCUGGAGCGUUGCCCCUUUCGGGGGCAGGUAGUU